UACGUAGGGGGCAAGCGUUGUCCGGAUUUAUUGGGCGUAAAGAGCGUGUAGGCGGUCAGGUAGGUCCGUUGUGAAAACUCGAGGCUCAACCUCGAGACGCCGAUGGAAACCAUCUGACUAGAGUCCGGAAGAGGAGAGUGGAAUUCCUGGUGUAGCGGUGAAAUGCGCAGAUAUCAGGAGGAACACCAAUGGCGAAGGCAGCACUCUGGGACGUGACUGACGCUGAGACGCGAAAGCGUGGGGAGCGAACAGG
RNAcentral lists this ribosomal RNA (253 nucleotides) under uncultured bacterium. Its description in RNAcentral is "partial 16S ribosomal RNA". It matches the Rfam family "Bacterial small subunit ribosomal RNA", at positions 524 to 776 of the family's 1533-position model. The record is from RNAcentral.